RNAcentral lists this ribosomal RNA (274 nucleotides) under uncultured soil bacterium. RNAcentral's name for it is "partial 16S ribosomal RNA". It matches the Rfam family "Bacterial small subunit ribosomal RNA", at positions 26 to 282 of the family's 1533-position model. The record is from RNAcentral.
AGAAUCAACGCUGGCGGCGUGCCUCAGACAUGCAAGUCGAACGCGAAAGUCCCCUUCGGGGGACAAGUAGAGUGGCGCACGGGUGAGUAACACGUAGGUAAUCUACCUUCGGAUGGGGAAUAACAAGUCGGAAACGGUUGCUAAUACCGCAUAAUGCAGCGGCACCGUAAGUGGUGACAGUUGUUAAAGCGGGGAUCGAAAGACCUCGCGUCUGAAGAGGAGCCUGCGGCGAUUAGCUAGUUGGUAAGGUAAUGGCUUACCAAGGCUACGAUCC